GUGAGGAAUUUUCCGCAAUGGGCGAAAGCCUGACGGAGCAAUGCCGCGUGAAGGAUGAAGGCCUAUGGGUUGUAAACUUCUUUUCUCAGAAAAGAAUUAUGACGGUAUCUGAGGAAUAAGCAUCGGCUAACUCUGUGCCAGCAGCCGCGGUAAGACAGAGGAUGCAAGCGUUAUCCGGAAUGAUUGGGCGUAAAGCGUCUGUAGGUUGUUUAAAAAGUAUUCUGUCAAAGAUUAGGGCUUAACCCUAGAUAGGCAGAAUAAACUUUUAAGCUAGAGUUUGGUAGAGGCAGAGGGAAUACCCGGUGGAGCGGUGAAAUGCGUAGAUAUCGGGAGGAACACCAAAGGCGAAGGCACUCUGCUGGGCCAAUACUAACACUGAGAGACGAAAGCGAGGGGAGCAAAUGGGAUUAGAUACCCGGGUAGUCC
This 426-nucleotide ribosomal RNA is filed under the name uncultured bacterium. RNAcentral describes it as "bacterial SSU rRNA". It matches the Rfam family "Bacterial small subunit ribosomal RNA", at positions 354 to 796 of the family's 1533-position model. The record is from RNAcentral.